CAGGGAUGGAUACUUUCACAGGUCAGGGGAGGUCAGUUUCCUCUUAGUCCUCAAAGGUGCGGGCUGAUUAGCAGGUCAGCUGUCUGAGCAAGACAGUAUUGAACCCAAGCCACCACUGUGAAGGGCGCCCGGAGGAUCUUUCUGGCGCAGAACAGCUCCGGCAAGCGACAGCCAAUCCAAGAUCUUUGCUCACCCUCUGGCGCUCAAGAAGGGGAGAGAUGGCAAGUAGAUGAGCCUCAAGGAGAAAGGAGAGAAAGUCUGUGCUGAACAGGUGUGUUCCCUUUCAAAGCCAAUUGCCCUGUUUGGCUCAGUGAGG
RNAcentral lists this long non-coding RNA (316 nucleotides) under Homo sapiens (human). RNAcentral's name for it is "HSALNT0115741". The record is from RNAcentral. Lineage: Eukaryota; Metazoa; Chordata; Mammalia; Primates; Hominidae.